CGUCAAAUCAUCAUGCCCCUUAUGACCUGGGCUACACACGUGCUACAAUGGCCGGUACAAAGGGCAGCGAAGCCGCGAGGCGGAGCCAAUCCCAAAAAGCCGGUCUCAGUUCGGAUUGCAGGCUGCAACUCGCCUGCAUGAAGUCGGAAUUGCUAGUAAUCGCGGAUCAGCAUGCCGCGGUGAAUACGUUCCCGGGUCUU
RNAcentral lists this ribosomal RNA (200 nucleotides) under uncultured organism. Its description in RNAcentral is "partial small subunit ribosomal RNA". It matches the Rfam family "Bacterial small subunit ribosomal RNA", at positions 1183 to 1382 of the family's 1533-position model. The record is from RNAcentral.